RNAcentral lists this ribosomal RNA (453 nucleotides) under Salmonella enterica. RNAcentral's name for it is "partial 23S ribosomal RNA". It matches the Rfam family "Bacterial large subunit ribosomal RNA", at positions 739 to 1190 of the family's 2925-position model. The record is from RNAcentral. Lineage: Bacteria; Pseudomonadati; Pseudomonadota; Gammaproteobacteria; Enterobacterales; Enterobacteriaceae. RNAcentral also lists the same sequence under 2 other names.
GGCAGGUUGAAGGUUGGGUAACACUAACUGGAGGACCGAACCGACUAAUGUUGAAAAAUUAGCGGAUGACCUGUGGCUGGGGGUGAAAGGCCAAUCAAACCGGGAGAUAGCUGGUUCUCCCCGAAAGCUAUUUAGGUAGCGCCUCGUGAAUUCAUCUCCGGGGGUAGAGCACUGUUUCGGCUAGGGGGCCAUCCCGGCUUACCAACCCGAUGCAAACUGCGAAUACCGGAGAAUGUUAUCACGGGAGACACACGGCGGGUGCUAACGUCCGUCGUGAAGAGGGAAACAACCCAGACCGCCAGCUAAGGUCCCAAAGUCAUGGUUAAGUGGGAAACGAUGUGGGAAGGCCCAGACAGCCAGGAUGUUGGCUUAGAAGCAGCCAUCAUUUAAAGAAAGCGUAAUAGCUCACUGGUCGAGUCGGCCUGCGCGGAAGAUGUAACGGGGCUAAACCAU